AUUGAACGCUGGCGGCAUGCUUUACACAUGCAAGUCGAACGGCAGCGCGGGCUUCGGCCUGGCGGCGAGUGGCGAACGGGUGAGUAAUGCAUCGGAACGUGCCCAGUAGUGGGGGAUAGCCCGGCGAAAGUCGGGUUAAUACCGCAUACGACCUGAGGGUGAAAGCGGGGGACCGAAAGGCCUCGCGCUAUCGGAGCGGCCGAUGUCGGAUUAGCUAGUUGGUGGGGUAAAGGCUUACCAAGGCGACGAUCCGUAGCUGGUCUGAGAGGACGACCAGCCACACUGGGACUGAGACACGGCCCAGACUCCUACGGGAGGCAGCAGUGGGGAAUUUUGGACAAUGGGGGCAACCCUGAUCCAGCCAUGCCGCGUGCGGGAAGAAGGCCUUCGGGUUGUAAACCGCUUUUGUUCGGGAAGAAAUCCUCUGGGCUAAUACCCCGGGGGGAUGACGGUACCGGAAGAAUAAGCACCGGCUAACUACGUG
RNAcentral lists this ribosomal RNA (484 nucleotides) under uncultured bacterium. RNAcentral describes it as "partial 16S ribosomal RNA". It matches the Rfam family "Bacterial small subunit ribosomal RNA", at positions 28 to 507 of the family's 1533-position model. The record is from RNAcentral.